UACGUAGGGGGCAAGCGUUGUCCGGAAUCAUUGGGCGUAAAGAGCGUGUAGGCGGCCCGAUAAGUCCGCUGUGAAAGUCCAGGGCUCAACCCUGGGAUGCCGGUGGAUACUGUCGGGCUCGAGUCCGGAAGAGGAGUGUGGAAUUCCUGGUGUAGCGGUGAAAUGCGCAGAUAUCAGGAAGAACACCCGUGGCGAAAGCGGCUCUCUGGAACGGUACUGACGCUGAGACGCGAAAGCGUGGGGAGCGAACAGG
RNAcentral lists this ribosomal RNA (253 nucleotides) under uncultured bacterium. RNAcentral's name for it is "partial 16S ribosomal RNA". It matches the Rfam family "Bacterial small subunit ribosomal RNA", at positions 524 to 776 of the family's 1533-position model. The record is from RNAcentral.